AACACUGUUAACCUGCGGUACCUGCGGAGGGAUCAUUAACAAGCUGUGGGAGAUCGAUCAAUUUGAUCUCACACCUGGCCAACCUUGUUAACCUUAAAUAUAUUGCUUUGGUGAGCCCUGCUCACCAAAGUCAAACCCUAAACUCUUGAUUGUUUCUGCUGUCUGAGCAUGCAAGUGCAAAAUUUAGUUAAAAACUUUCAACAACGGAUCU
This 211-nucleotide unclassified non-coding RNA is filed under the name soil metagenome. Its description in RNAcentral is "partial contains 5.8S ribosomal RNA, internal transcribed spacer 2, and large subunit ribosomal RNA". The record is from RNAcentral.